UUUGAGUUGGCCAGAUUGGUACUGCAAGGUUGCCUCCAACAUAGAUUCUGCCAUAACUGCUCUCUUCUCCAUUUCAGCAAGUGCGCUAGUAGCUUGUUCAUACUUUUCCUGAAGCAUUUGAGCUGCGUAUCUUUGUGCUGCAGAGUCUUGCUCAGCAAACCUUCGAGCAUCUUCAGUGAGUCUUUGCUCUUGUUCCACCCGCAUCAAGA
Molecule: unclassified non-coding RNA, 209 nt
Filed under: Hevea brasiliensis (rubber tree)
Lineage: Eukaryota; Viridiplantae; Streptophyta; Magnoliopsida; Malpighiales; Euphorbiaceae
Source: RNAcentral